CCCACUUUACUGGGAAAUGUCUGCAAAUAGCCAGUAGCAAUAUGGAAGUAUUUACCAAGGAGGCAGAGGCAUCUGUGAACAAGGAAGUGGAGGAGGAAAGCAAGGAGGGGAACAGUAAAGUGUAAAACAUGAUGCAGUCUGGUGCUGUUGGUGACUCAACAGGAAGUGAUGGUGCGGGAGUAAGUAAGUGCAGUUCCUGAGCUACCCAGCAAUCAAAGGCAGCACAAACAUCAUUCUUCAGCCCACCCUCCUCUUCCUCCCGGUGGCUGUUGGCUCUUUGAUAACUGAGCUGUCUCCUCACAGGAUGAGGUCAAAGGCCGUGGUGCGAAGCCCACUCAGACAUUUGAGGAGCCCGAUUCCUUCCCGACGCCUCCAACUUGUCAGACCCAACCGCAAAUCCAUUAAAUUAAGAAAGAUUAAA
Molecule: long non-coding RNA, 421 nt
Organism: Micropterus salmoides (largemouth bass)
Lineage: Eukaryota; Metazoa; Chordata; Actinopteri; Centrarchiformes; Centrarchidae
Exons: 3
Source: RefSeq, a predicted model, not a curated record